GGGUGCGAUCAUACCAGCGCUGCUGCACCGGAUCCCAUCAGAACUCCGUAGUUCAGCGCGCUUGGGCCAGAGUAGUACUAGGAUGGGUGACCUCCUGGGAAGUCCUGGUAUUGCACCUUU
This 120-nucleotide ribosomal RNA is filed under the name Zamia pumila. Lineage: Eukaryota; Viridiplantae; Streptophyta; Cycadopsida; Cycadales; Zamiaceae. The record is from RNAcentral.